Long non-coding RNA from Cucurbita maxima (winter squash), 1111 nucleotides. RefSeq lists it as uncharacterized. NCBI's taxonomy places the organism in Eukaryota, Viridiplantae, Streptophyta, Magnoliopsida, Cucurbitales, Cucurbitaceae. The transcript is spliced from 2 exons. The record is from RefSeq and is a predicted model, not a curated record.
AAUCUCCGUGUUCUACUUUUGCAGUGGCCAAGCAGCUGUUCCAUCGCUUUUCCCCUAGCUUCCAAGAAAGGUUCACAGGGACUGAUUACAUAGUUUCCCUUUAGAGGAAAUCAAGUUUUCAUCACAAAGGAACUCCCAAGAAUACCACUUUUCGAUCAUACGAUCUAUAUCGUGUACAACUACAUCAGUGGUGUUCCCUUCUCUUGCUAUGAUAGCAGCACUGUAAAUUGUUGCCAUUCUUCCUGGUGCCAGAGGACUAUCUCCUCUCGGUCCAUCCACGACCACCACAUCCCAUUUUACUUCAUAAACUUCUCUUGGAAGAUCUGUCAACGCAAGUUGGCAUCUGGAUGAAUUCCUGAGGCCCGAGUUUGGUGCACAUGAUUUGUUUCCUCUGGCAUGUUUUAACAACUUGUAAGCUUUUUCUGCAUGAAGCUUGUAAUCAACUUUGUACAUCCGGGUGUGAUUUGAAUUGACUUUGAAUAUGCUCAGUUUGUAGGGAUCGUCCUCCAGAAAAACAUUCUUUCCACCAGGAUUGACUGCUGAGAGGUUAAGGUACUGUGAUUCUAUCCCAAAGAAAAGGAGAUUGCAGGGUACUUUUUUGGCAAUCAGAUUUGAAAGAAGCUUGAAUUCUUUCUCUGAAAUGGUAGCUUCAUUUGCAGAGGUUCUACUGUGAUUUCUUGAGAACCCUGAUAUUGGGCGUUGAAGCUUUGGAGGCAAUGCAAUUGCUAGAAGUGGAGAAGUAUAAGAUGUGGUAAGUGCAAUCCUAACAAGUCUGAAAAUGGAAAGACUAGACAGAAUCAACACGAGAACAGGUAGGAUUUUGUUUCUUGUAGAACUCAUGCCUUUGAUUCCUCUACUGAUUUUGAAGUUUACUGAUGGAUAUGGGUGCUGUGAAGGUGGUGAGACAGAGGGGGGAGAAAAGAAUGAUUCUGAUGGCACGAGUGAGGGCCAAUCUGCCACUUCUGGAGGCAUUUUCUUUUACUGUUGUUCGAUUUCAACCGCAUCAGAGCCACCAUCUUAUUCUUAUUGGAGGGCCACUGGUGGGGUGUUCCUGGGUGCAAGUUGUUAUGCCUAAUCACCUCUUGAGUGUGGAAUAAGAAAUGCUUUUGCU